AAAUUGAAGAGUUUGAUCAUGGCUCAGAUUGAACGCUGGCGGCAGGCCUAACACAUGCAAGUCGAACGGUAACAGGAAGCAGCUUGCUGCUUUGCUGACGAGUGGCGGACGGGUGAGUAAUGUCUGGGAAACUGCCCGAUGGAGGGGGAUAACUACUGGAAACGGUAGCUAAUACCGCAUAACGUCGCAAGACCAAAGAGGGGGACCUUCGGGCCUCUUGCCAUCGGAUGUGCCCAGAUGGGAUUAGCUAGUAGGUGGGGUAACGGCUCACCUAGGCGACGAUCCCUAGCUGGUCUGAGAGGAUGACCAGCCACACUGGAACUGAGACACGGUCCAGACUCCUACGGGAGGCAGCAGUGGGGAAUAUUGCACAAUGGGCGCAAGCCUGAUGCAGCCAUGCCGCGUGUAUGAAGAAGGCCUUCGGGUUGUAAAGUACUUUCAGCGGGGAGGAAGGGAGUAAAGUUAAUACCUUUGCUCAUUGACGUUACCCGCAGAAGAAGCACCGGCUAACUCCGUGCCAGCAGCCGCGGUAAUACGGAGGGUGCAAGCGUUAAUCGGAAUUACUGGGCGUAAAGCGCACGCAGGCGGUUUGUUAAGUCAGAUGUGAAAUCCCCGGGCUCAACCUGGGAACUGCAUCUGAUACUGGCAAGCUUGAGUCUCGUAGAGGGGGGUAGAAUUCCAGGUGUAGCGGUGAAAUGCGUAGAGAUCUGGAGGAAUACCGGUGGCGAAGGCGGCCCCCUGGACGAAGACUGACGCUCAGGUGCGAAAGCGUGGGGAGCAAACAGGAUUAGAUACCCUGGUAGUCCACGCCGUAAACGAUGUCGACUUGGAGGUUGUGCCCUUGAGGCGUGGCUUCCGGAGCUAACGCGUUAAGUCGACCGCCUGGGGAGUACGGCCGCAAGGUUAAAACUCAAAUGAAUUGACGGGGGCCCGCACAAGCGGUGGAGCAUGUGGUUUAAUUCGAUGCAACGCGAAGAACCUUACCUGGUCUUGACAUCCACGGAAGUUUUCAGAGAUGAGAAUGUGCCUUCGGGAACCGUGAGACAGGUGCUGCAUGGCUGUCGUCAGCUCGUGUUGUGAAAUGUUGGGUUAAGUCCCGCAACGAGCGCAACCCUUAUCCUUUGUUGCCAGCGGUCCGGCCGGGAACUCAAAGGAGACUGCCAGUGAUAAACUGGAGGAAGGUGGGGAUGACGUCAAGUCAUCAUGGCCCUUACGACCAGGGCUACACACGUGCUACAAUGGCGCAUACAAAGAGAAGCGACCUCGCGAGAGCAAGCGGACCUCAUAAAGUGCGUCGUAGUCCGGAUUGGAGUCUGCAACUCGACUCCAUGAAGUCGGAAUCGCUAGUAAUCGUGGAUCAGAAUGCCACGGUGAAUACGUUCCCGGGCCUUGUACACACCGCCCGUCACACCAUGGGAGUGGGUUGCAAAAGAAGUAGGUAGCUUAACCUUCGGGAGGGCGCUUACCACUUUGUGAUUCAUGACUGGGGUGAAGUCGUAACAAGGUAACCGUAGGGGAACCUGCGGUUGGAUCACCUCCUUACCUUAAAGAA
RNAcentral lists this ribosomal RNA (1552 nucleotides) under Escherichia coli. RNAcentral's name for it is "bacterial SSU rRNA". It matches the Rfam family "Bacterial small subunit ribosomal RNA". The record is from RNAcentral. Lineage: Bacteria; Pseudomonadati; Pseudomonadota; Gammaproteobacteria; Enterobacterales; Enterobacteriaceae.